RNAcentral lists this ribosomal RNA (655 nucleotides) under uncultured archaeon. RNAcentral's name for it is "bacterial SSU rRNA". It matches the Rfam family "Archaeal small subunit ribosomal RNA", at positions 196 to 854 of the family's 1478-position model. The record is from RNAcentral.
GGGGCGCCCAAGGAUUAGGUCUGCGGUCCGAUUAGNUUGUUGUUGAUGUAAUGGAUCAACAAGCCUGCAAUCGNUACGGGUUGUGAGAGCAAGAGCCCGGAGAUGGGUUCUGAGAAAAGAACCCAGGUCCUNCGGGACGCAUCAGGCGCGAAAACUUUACAAUGUGCGAAAGCACNAUAAGGGAACUCUGAGUGCCUCCUAUGGAGGCUGUUCAGGUGUCUAAAANGCACUUGAAGUAAGGGCUGGGUAAGACNGGUGCCAGCCGCCGCGGUAACACCGGCAGCCCAAGUGGUAGCCACGAUUAUUGGGUCUAAAGCGUCCGUAGCCGGCCAGGUAAGUUCUUUGGGAAAUUUAGCCGCUCAACGGUUAAGCUUUCAGGGAAUACUGCUUGGCUUGGGACCGGGAGAGGUCAGAGGUACUUCAAGGGUAGGGGUGAAAUCCGUUAAUCCUUGAGGGACCACCAGUAGCGAAGGCGUCUGACCAGACCGGGUCCGACGGUGAGGGACGAAGGCUAGGGUCGCGAACCGGAUUAGAUACCCGGGUAGUCCUAGCUGUAAACGAUGCGGGCCAGGUGUUGGCAUUACUGCGAGUGAUGUCAGUGCCGAAGGGAAGCCGUUAAGCCCGCCAUCUGGGGAGUACGGUCGCAAGACUGAAA